Molecule: non-coding RNA, 107 nt
Organism: Nicotiana sylvestris (wood tobacco)
Lineage: Eukaryota; Viridiplantae; Streptophyta; Magnoliopsida; Solanales; Solanaceae
Source: Rfam
AUUCCACUAUGUUGACAUUUUCGCGUUAUCUCCUUAAACCACUCCCAUGCUUCAAACACAAUUUCAGUCUCAUUCUGGUAGAAGUUAUGGAUUUAUCUUCUAAACUU